RNAcentral lists this ribosomal RNA (404 nucleotides) under Fusobacteriota bacterium. Its description in RNAcentral is "Fusobacteria bacterium partial 16S ribosomal RNA". It matches the Rfam family "Bacterial small subunit ribosomal RNA", at positions 355 to 776 of the family's 1533-position model. The record is from RNAcentral. Lineage: Bacteria; Fusobacteriati; Fusobacteriota.
UGGGGAAUAUUGCACAAUGGAGGGAACUCUGAUGCAGCGACGCCGCGUGAGUGAUGAAGGAAUUCGUUUCGUAAAACUCUGUUCUAUGGGAAGAAAAGGACUGUACCAUAGGAGAAAGCUCCGGCUAAAUACGUGCCAGCAGCCGCGGUAAUACGUAUGGAGCGAGCGUUGUCCGGAAUUAUUGGGCGUAAAGGGUGCGCAGGCGGCUUUACAAGUUGGAUGUGAAAUAUUGUGGCUCAACCACAAACGUGCAUCCAAAACUGCAAAGCUUGAGUUAAGGAGAGGUAAGUGGAAUUCCUCGUGUAGCGGUGGAAUGCGUAGAUAUCAUGAGGAAUACCGGUGGCGAAGGCGACUUACUGGACUUAAACUGACGCUCAGGCACGAAAGCGUGGGGAGCAAACAGG